This 954-nucleotide ribosomal RNA is filed under the name Amanita emodotrygon. RNAcentral describes it as "partial large subunit ribosomal RNA". It matches the Rfam family "Eukaryotic large subunit ribosomal RNA", at positions 22 to 948 of the family's 3401-position model. Lineage: Eukaryota; Fungi; Basidiomycota; Agaricomycetes; Agaricales; Amanitaceae. The record is from RNAcentral.
UAACCGCCUGAACUAAGCAUAUCAAUAAGCGGAGGAAAAGAAACUACAAGGAUCCCUUAGUAACUGCGAGUGAAGUGGGAAAAGCUCAAAUUUAAAAUCUGGCAGUCUGAAUUUACUUCUUUGGCUGUCCGAGUUGUAAUCUAGAGAAGUGCUACCUGUACUGGACCAUGUACAAGUCUCCUGGGAAUGGAGCAUCACAGAGGGUGAGAAUCCCGUCUAUGACAUGGACUACCAGUGUGUUGUGGAGUACUUUCAAAGAGUCGAGUUGUUUGGGAAUGCAGCUCUAAAUGGGUGGUAAACUCCAUCUAAAGCUAAAUAUUGGCGAGAGACCGAUAGCGAACAAGUACCGUGAGGGAAAGAUGAAAAGGACUUUGGAAAGAGAGUUAAACAGUACGUGAAAUUGUUGAAAGGGAAACACUUGAUGUCAGCUGUGUUAGCUGGGGAUCAGCCUAGCUUUUUCGCUUGGCGCAUUUCCUGGUCUGACAGGCCAACAUCAGUUUCGGCUGCUGGAGAAAGGCAGAUGGAAUGUGGCACCUUUGGGUGUGUUAUAGCUUUCUGUCAGAUGUAGCAGCGGGGACUGAGGUAUGCAGUGCGCCGUAAGGCAGGGUUUCGACCACACUCGCACUUAGGAUGUUGGUUUAAUGGCAUCAAUUGACCCGUCUUGAAACACGGACCAAGGAGUCUAACAUGCCUGCGAGUAUUUGGGUGAUAAACCCUUGUGCAUAAUGAAAGUGAAAAUUGAGAUCCCUGUCAUGGGGAGCAUUGAUGCCCGGACUUGAGCUUUUAGCGAUGGAUCUGCGGUAAAGCAUGCAUGUUGGGACCCGAAAGAUGGUGAACUAUGCCUGAAUAGGGCAAAGCCAGAGGAAACUCUGGUGGAGGCUCGUAGCGAUUCUGACGUGCAAAUCGAUCGUCGAAUUUGGGUAUAGGGCGAAAGACUAAUCGAGGAGAUUAAUU